Molecule: long non-coding RNA, 3913 nt
Filed under: Venturia canescens
Lineage: Eukaryota; Metazoa; Arthropoda; Insecta; Hymenoptera; Ichneumonidae
Description: uncharacterized LOC122407361
Source: RNAcentral
GUUCGCGUGCCACCGCCGCACAUUGCCUCCUCCACUUCCUCCGGUGUGCAUGCUCUUCUUCCUCGUGUGUGUAUUGCUCGCGUGCUUGCUUGCUUACUUGCUUGUCCGCUACCUCCUCUAUGCUUACUGCCGGGCUUUCCCGAGGCACGUACGCGAGACGAGCUCGGAUGGAAGGUGGAUCGCGUAUCGAAUCUCGCUCCUCUCCCUCCCUUUCUCUCCCCUCUCUCUGUCUCCUAUAUCAGCACAUACGCCUCCUCGUCCAUGAAUCCACAUGGACACACACUUCCGUGCACAAAGGGUGUCCGAAGAGUCGAGCUUCGAAACUUCGAACGCGGUUGACAAUCCUCGAAUCGUCUUAUUGUCGCGUCAUUCGGAUAUUUUGUUGUGCGCGAUGGAAAGUCGAUGAAAUAUUAAUAAAAGCUUAUUCCGGGGCAUCGAGACUCGUUCGUAGAUUGCAGGGAGUGAAUUUCAAGUUGGGAUAGUCACUGUCCGAUUAUAGCAUCGGGUUUAUACUCGCUUUUUUAUAUUCCACUUGUGAGAUUGACAACCUCGCUAAUCCUAACCUCUCUUUCGCGAGUCGCUACUUCUAGAAACGAUGCUAAAAUUUCUAUGAAUACGUGAACUUUUGGAUAAAUGUUAUUUUCUCCUUCGGGAGGACGUCGAUUUUCGUUUAUUUAUAAACGUUUAAAUCUUCAUUGAAUCGUCGAAAUUCACAAACGGACAUUUCGAAAGCUCGAAUGUCCUCGAACGAUCAUUCAUCGUUAGAGAACGAAGCUGAGGUUUGCUCAAUAUCCGGAAAAUGUCUGCAGUAUUCGUGGAUGAAAAUUCGUACCUGUGUCUCGUCGAAGGACGCACUCAAUCAACCACGCAUCGAAGGAGAAAAUACUUCGGGACUGUUUUCCUCAGAAGUUCCUCGGAGCCUUUGAGGUAAUCGGGAUCGUUGACUGGAGCGUAUCAUUCAAGAGAUUUCGAUCAAUCGAACCCAACGAACUUCUGACAACCAUUGAAACUGUCGAGUCUUAUUGGCACGCUAGUAGCUUGCAUUUCGAAAUAAAUUUGAUUAAAAGAAUUCAUGAAACAUCGAUUUUGGAAGUUUACACUAAAAAACCUGAUGAUUGAGCCGCUGCGAUUCGUAAGCUGCAAAUGAGUGUUCAAAAAAGCAUCGCAAAUAUUUCUUAUACCGAGUGGCACUUAACCUCUUAAAAACUAACCUCUAAACCAUUUCGAUCCCUCCCGUUUUCGUUAGCCUCAGACUGCCUCGUCAUGUUCGAUUCCAAUGUCGUUGGAAUCAAUUUGAAAUUUAACGACAGCCACGUUUUGUACACCCGAUACAUGAAAAGCUCACUAUAUAGAUUUAUUUCCCACGCAUCCUCCGAUGUCUCCGUGCAAUAUUUUCCUCUCGCUUGCUCUCUCGCUGUUUUCCUCUUCACCUCUACCCUCGAUAGGACUCCACGUAGUUCAUCUACCUUUCUCGUUACUAUUUUCCACAUCCCGUUGGCACCCAACGUACACCCUAUGCGACACGACCCGUCAGAACGUGCGAGCAGAAAAAAAGGAGACCGCGCGCGCGCGGGAGAGAAGAUCACGGUACAGAAAAGACAGGACCGAGCUCGAAAUUCCCACACGUAGUAGUAAAAAUCUCUCUGAUUCUACCCCGAGAGUUACAAGCUGAGCAAAAGUCAGCACACGAAGCUUCUUGAAACGUUGUUAUAUGUGCAACGUCGAAAAUAUAUGUUCUACUCGUUAACUCCGCCGUACGAGAGUCCACAGACACGAAAACCCUCUUUCCCUUUUUUUCGUUUUUUUUUCUCCUCGAAGCUUUAAUGAAUUAUAUUCAUUUGGCUGUGGUUAUUUGUGAAACAGCGCAAAUAAAGACCCUUCGUAAUGCUCGAGGUCUUCACUUCAUUACCAAGUUAUUCCAUGAAUACCCAGCAUUUUAAGUGCGACGCUGACAAGCCGAACGAAAAUGAAGAAGAGAUAAGUUAGGUUAGGGCAUCUUUUUCGCGAAUGCGAGUUCUCAGUUUUAUCAUCAAUUUUUUCAUCUCUUCGCUUCUUACUUUUAUCCGAAUACCCAAAUAUAAAACAAAUCGAUGUUGACAUCCCUCGUAAAAUUUUCAACUUUUUUCAUUUUCACGGUUUGCCACAGGGAAUUUCACUACAAUUCGAGAACAUCGGUAAUCGAUCGAAAACAAAUUUUGCAAUGAAUUUAAGAAAUUUAUGGCUCCGAUUAUUCAAUCGAUCAAGAUCAUCGAAAAAUUUAAUUUUAAAGAGAAUCAAUUUCGUCAAUUAAAUGAAAACUCAUUUAGUAUUAUAAAUUGAGUUAAUCCAUAGGCUUAAAAUACUUGUGACGUGUGCCGAAUUCCGCUCGUUACGAAAUGAAUAGCGAUCCAUUGCGACAGGUCGAAUCACUGAAAUUGUCUGCGCGAGCCAGCAGUUCGAGAAAGGAACUUUACCUCGUUACUUCAACUAUUGAAAUCGCACAUAUGCCGGAGGAAUUCGAAACAAAGGGACUGGCACAUUCGACCGGAAUUAAUUAAAAGUAUCGAUCAGUGAAUACGUAUAUUGACGCGCCAUUUAUAGGUUAUCUUUCGCUGACUGAUGAAUAUUAGAAGCUCCCGUAUUAAAUGGAACGAUUAUUACGAGAUUUAUUAUUUAUUGUUUCAUUCUGGGGCAUCGCUGCUUGCUUCAGACGUUUUAAUGCUUGGUUUGAGGGUCUUUAAUAAAAUUGUGACAUCACACCGGUUUUUGCGAUGGAAGAGCCCGCACACUCGUGUCAAAAUGACGCAAUUUCGUUCUUUUCUUCUGAUAAUACGAUUUGUAAUGAAUUUUGAAAAAUACUGACACCAUUUUUUACUAACGGAUAAAAUACGACUGUAUUUGUGUUGCCAAAAAAACGAUGAUUUUUGUCCAGACCAAAAACGCGUUUUUAUUUAUCGUUUGUUUUAACCAAGAUCGUGACGUGACCGCGGAGGUACGUCUGUUUUAUCCUGUUUUUCGUAAUGAAGUAAAAAAUUUGAGCGUGAAGAAAAAGUAGUUGGAAUUCCAGGUUUUAUAUGUUUCUUCGUCUAUUUUAAUAUUUGAUGUUCAACAUUCAUAUUUUUAGACUCGAAUUAUUUAAUUAUUGUUGUCGACUGAAAAAGUGACUAAUCAAUUAUUGUUGCCGAGGAAAUUUUGGUCUUGAAGUGUGCAAGGGUAAGGAUUCGUCGGAAUAACAACUCGUAAAUGAGGUUUGCAUAAAACAUCACAUUUUAUGAAUUUCUUACAAUGAUUAUGAGGUAGGCAAUGUUGAGGUUGGUGAAUCGAGAGUUCGGGACACGUCGAAGGAACGUGCUUCAACGACUUCACAUUAACGUUACGUAAAAUAAUGCUACAUUGCAUUUUUUGCAUGUUGCAAUUCUUCUCUAACUCCUACAUCAUUUGUUUACCAUUAAAUUGAAUAUGAAAAAAAAAUAAUAAUAUUUAAAAACAGUGAAAAAUAUAAUGAAAUAAUAUUUUUAAAAUAUUUCUAGCGUUGUUCGAAUCCUUUGAGGAAAAGAUUUCUGAUUUUUUGUACUUUGGGUUCUGGGGAAUUGACGAGAUUUUCUAUAAAAUCAUAUUGACCAACGGAACCGUGUUUCCUGUAUCCAAUCGUCGCACUAUUCAUCGAUAUUUCGACCGGCCGUAGUGCAAACGUUUUCUAAUCUCCACUACUCCAUCGAUUCUACAUAUUUUUGUACACUUGCGCGUUCCUUGUUUAUUUCUCUUGCUAAUGAAAAAUAUGGCGUUUCCUGUCAUUUAUAAAUGUGUAGCGUAGUAAAAAAAAUCAGUCUUACUUGUAAUACAACGUUUAGUUGUUAAGGCAACGUGAUUUACUUAUCGAUAAUAGUGUAAUAAUCGUAUUAUGAGAAUAAUAAAAACAUCGUGUCGUAUUUAA